RNAcentral lists this long non-coding RNA (445 nucleotides) under Mizuhopecten yessoensis (Yesso scallop). RNAcentral's name for it is "uncharacterized LOC110450260, transcript variant X1". The record is from RNAcentral. Lineage: Eukaryota; Metazoa; Mollusca; Bivalvia; Pectinida; Pectinidae.
CAUUGAUGACUUUCACCGACACAAAUAGCUGUAAUAAAGACAAUUCUACUGUAACAUACUGUGUUCACUCUACCUUUAUACAGGGUCAGAAAAUGGUUGCCAGGUGACAGACAGUGAUGUCAGCGACUCAGUACAAACAGCAUCCAGGGCCAGGCAGUCUGUACAGAAAAUAUACAUACAGGAUCAUCUCCACGGUCAUUUAACACAGGCCAAAAUCUAAGUAGCUCAACAUGCUGACAUCAAACAAGGUGUACCUCAUUUUAUCAACAAACCAACUUAUAAUGCCAAAUUUUCGCAGGACAGAUGGUGGCAGUAUAACAAGCUUUGAAUUUGGUAUUGUGGAUGAGGAUUAGCUAGAUCUGCUGGAAGAACAGUUCAAUGAAUGUUGAAUGUAACUUAACAUCAUUAAAAUAUUUAAGUUCUAAUUUAAUAUCUCUUUUUCUUA